GCUCAACCGUAAACUUUUAUUUACAACUGUAACGCCAGAGAACUACAAGCAAAGCUUAAAACUCAAAGGACUUGACGGUACCCCAUAUCCACCUAGAGGAGCCUGUUCUAUAAUCGAUAACCCCCGCUUUACCUUACCAUUUUUAGCUUAUCAGUCUGUAUACCUCCGUCGUCAGCUUACCACGUGAGCGGAUCUCAGUAAGCUUAAUGCCCAUUACGCCAAUACGUCAGGUCAAGGUGCAGCAAACAAAAUGUGAAAGAGAUGGGCUACACUCUCUAAUUUAGAAUAUACAAAAAACUUUAUGAAACCAAGUUUGAAGGCGGAUUUAGCAGUAAAAAGAAAUCAAAGAGUUCUUUUUAAUAAGGCACUAGGGUGUGUACACACCGCCCGUCACCCUCUUCAAAGCCACUUAAUAGUAUUUAACCUUUAUAUGCACCCAAGAAGAGGUAAGUCGUAACAUGGUAAGUAUACCGGAAGGUGUGCUUGGAAA
This 490-nucleotide ribosomal RNA is filed under the name Phyllomedusa burmeisteri (common walking leaf frog). RNAcentral describes it as "partial small subunit ribosomal RNA". It matches the Rfam family "Bacterial small subunit ribosomal RNA", at positions 794 to 1522 of the family's 1533-position model. The record is from RNAcentral. Lineage: Eukaryota; Metazoa; Chordata; Amphibia; Anura; Hylidae.